This 512-nucleotide ribosomal RNA is filed under the name uncultured bacterium. RNAcentral describes it as "bacterial SSU rRNA". It matches the Rfam family "Bacterial small subunit ribosomal RNA", at positions 15 to 518 of the family's 1533-position model. The record is from RNAcentral.
GAUCCUGGCUUAGGAUGAACGCUAGCGACAGGCUUAACACAUGCAAGUCGAGGGGCAGCAUGGGCAUAGCAAUAUGCCUGAUGGCGACCGGCGCACUGGUGAGUAACACGUAUGCAACCUGCCCCCUACAGGGGGAUAAUCCAGAGAAAUUUGGUCUAAUACCCCGUAGUCAGCGAGAGGGCAUCCUCUCUCUGGGAAAGCUCCGGCGGUAGGGGAUGGGCAUGCGGCGCAUUAGCUGGUUGGCGGGGCGACGGCCCACCAAGGCGACGAUGCGUAGGGGUUCUGAGAGGAAGGUCCCCCACACUGGUACUGAGACACGGACCAGACUCCUACGGGAGGCAGCAGUGAGGAAUAUUGGUCAAUGGGCGCAGGCCUGAACCAGCCAAGUCGCCGUGCGGGAAGACGGCCCUACGGGUUGUAAACCGCUUUAGCCGGGGAGUAACGUGCGCCACGCGUGGCGCAGUGAGAGUACCCGGAGAAUAAGCAUCGGCUAACUCCGUGCCAGCCGCGGC